GUGUAUGGCUCAGUGGUAGAGUACUUGCAUAGCAUGUGCGAGGCCCAAGGUUUGAUUCCUAGUCACA
This 67-nucleotide transfer RNA is filed under the name Marmota monax (woodchuck). RNAcentral describes it as "tRNA.Ala". Lineage: Eukaryota; Metazoa; Chordata; Mammalia; Rodentia; Sciuridae. The record is from RNAcentral.